Salvia hispanica is the source of this 311-nucleotide long non-coding RNA. RefSeq lists it as uncharacterized. Lineage: Eukaryota; Viridiplantae; Streptophyta; Magnoliopsida; Lamiales; Lamiaceae. The record is from RefSeq and is a predicted model, not a curated record.
UGAAGGUUCCAAUGUUGAGUUGGCCUGGGUGACUCACUGUUGGUGAAACUUGAGGGUUUCUGGUUCUGGUGUUUCCCACGGUGCUCUCUUUGGCUUCACUGAGUGUGCAGGUUGUUACAAGGGGUGACUGGCUUGGAGUCAGAACCGAUCAAGGUUGCUGACUAGUGCUAGGGUUCAAUACCUUGUAUUUGGUUACUUGUAGAUUGUAUCUUGUUCUAUCUUUGAUUGUAUCUGGUUUGUUCUUGAGAGAUUGACCAUCUUCGACUUACAAUGUAAAUAAAGAAAUCCCGAAUGGUAUGAUCUCUACCGAA